AUGGCACGGAAGAGCGAAGGGAAGAAGACCAGAACCAAAAGAGACCCACCUUCCUCCACCACGGUUCCUCCCCCGCCGCCGGUGGAGCCACAGGCUACGGCGCCGGACAUCUCGAUCGAAGUGCUCGCCGAGUUCGACAUCUUCAGCAUUCUCCGCCGUCUCUGCCUCGCCGACCUCCUCCGUGCCGCCCUCGCCUGCCACCGCUGGCGCCGCCUGGCCGCCAGCUGCCUCCCACGCGCCCCUCCUCUCCUCGGCCACUUCUUCCAUCCAACGGAAGUCAAUCCCCCGUUCCCGCUGGAGGAAACCAAGGAUCCCGACACCCCCGCCGUGUUCGCUCCCCUCGACGCCUCCUCCCCGCGCCUCUCCCUCGACUUCGCUCCGGACGCCGUCCGCUUCUACCUCUACGACUCGCACCGAGGCCUCCUGCUUUGCGAGCCGUCCGACCCCCUUCCCAAGAAGGUCAUCCCCCGCUUCCUCGUCCUCGACCCGGCCACCCGCCGCCGCACGCUCCUCCCGCCCCCGCGCCGCGACACGGUGCCCGAUGACCGCCGCUGGCGCAGCUCGAGGUACUACAUCGGCUCCGCGCUGCUCUCCCGCGCUCACCAGAGCAAGCUCUGCUUCGAGGCUGUCUGCUUCGCCAUCGACGGCGACCACCCUCGCGCCUGGGUCGCGUCCGUCGACAACGGCGACUGCAGCUGGCGCGCGCUCCCGCGGGACGAGGAUGUCGUGGUCGAUUUUGACCCCUGGCUGUUCGAAGGACGCUGCGUGCACGCCGCCGGGAAGAUAUACUGGCACAUCUGCAACUCUGAGCGCGUGCUCGUGCUGGACCCUGUCACGCUCAGGUUCUCCUACCUGCCGGCGCCGCGCGCGCUGCGAAUCGACGCGCUGGCUGUGUGCAAGUACCGCGUCGGGGAGACGCCGGAUGGGCGGGUUUGCUUGGUCACGGACGGCCAGCAGCAGCUGCAUCUCUGGGUGCGCGGGGAGGGCAUGUCGAGCGACAACGGUUGGCUUCUGGAGAGGAGGAUCGUGGACUUGAGCGCGCUGUGCGACAUGAUUCCUGGCAUGCCCAGCAACCGGAUGCUCAGGACCCAUUGCAUCUGGCCCACCGACAUGGACGCCGGUCGCACAGGGAAGGUGUUCAUCAAGACCUGGGGAUUUGGGCGCUACACGUACGAUCUCCACACCGGCAAGAUGGAGCGCCUGCCGACGAGAAGCGGCAAGGACUAUGCGCACCCCGUCUUCGCCUACUCCCUGGCAUGGCCGCCCACGUUCCUCGCUCCAGAGGACUGA
Molecule: ribosomal RNA, 1290 nt
Filed under: Triticum aestivum (bread wheat)
Lineage: Eukaryota; Viridiplantae; Streptophyta; Magnoliopsida; Poales; Poaceae
Description: partial small subunit ribosomal RNA
Source: RNAcentral